AUUGAGCGCUGGCGGCAGGCCUAACACAUGCAAGUCGAACGGUAGCACAGAGAGCUUGCUCUCGGGUGACGAGUGGCGGACGGGUGAGUAACGUCUGGGAAACUGCCCGAUGGAGGGGGAUAACUACUGGAAACGGUAGCUAAUACCGCAUAACGUCACAAGACCAAAGGGGGGGACCGUCGGGCCUCACACCAUCGGAUGUGCCCAGAUGGGAUGAGCUAGUAGGGGGGGUAAUGGCUCACUAAGGCGACGAUCCCUAGCAGGUCUGAGAGGAUGACCAGCCACACUGGAACUGAGACACGGUCCAGACUCCUACGGGAGGCAGCAGUGGGGAAUAUUGCACAAUGGGCGCAAGCCUGAUGCAGCCAUGCCGCGUGUAUGAAGAAGGCCUUCGGGUUGUAAAGUACUUUCAGCGGGGAGGAAGGCGGUGAAGUUAAUAACUUCACCGAUUGACGUUACCCGCAGAAGAAGCACCGGCUAACUCCGUGCCAGCCGCCGCCGUAA
RNAcentral lists this ribosomal RNA (504 nucleotides) under uncultured bacterium. Its description in RNAcentral is "partial 16S ribosomal RNA". It matches the Rfam family "Bacterial small subunit ribosomal RNA", at positions 29 to 523 of the family's 1533-position model. The record is from RNAcentral.